GCGCUGACAAAAUCAGCAUGCUUGUUUCAGUGUGCUCAAACAAAUCAACAACUCAAUGUGAGUGAAACUUCACUCAUGAAAUAAAUGCUCUAAGCAGCAAUCACAAUUCUUUGUGAGCUGUCUAYGAGGAACCUUGUCUUAUUCGCACCUGAAAUCAAGUAAGAUGAC
Molecule: unclassified non-coding RNA, 168 nt
Filed under: Phialina sp. 1 FG-2017
Lineage: Eukaryota; Ciliophora; Litostomatea; Haptorida; Lacrymariidae
Description: partial internal transcibed spacer 2
Source: RNAcentral